UACGUAGGGGGCGAGCGUUGUCCGGAAUUACUGGGCGUAAAGGGUGCGUAGGCGGUACUUUAAGUUGGAUGUGAAAUGCCCGAGCUUAACUUGGGGGGUGCAUCCAAUACUGGAGAACUAGAGUGCAGGAGAGGGAAGCGGAAUUCCUAGUGUAGCGGUGAAAUGCGUAGAUAUUAGGAGGAACACCAGUGGCGAAGGCGGCUUUCUGGACUGUAACUGACGCUGAGGCACGAAAGCGUGGGGAGCAAACAGG
RNAcentral lists this ribosomal RNA (253 nucleotides) under uncultured prokaryote. RNAcentral's name for it is "partial 16S ribosomal RNA". It matches the Rfam family "Bacterial small subunit ribosomal RNA", at positions 524 to 776 of the family's 1533-position model. The record is from RNAcentral.